ACACUUUCAGUGGGGGAGGAAGGGGCAGAUAUUAAUACCAUCUGUCAUUGACGUUACCCACAGAAGAAGCACCGGCUAACUCUGUGC
Molecule: ribosomal RNA, 87 nt
Filed under: uncultured bacterium
Lineage: Bacteria
Description: partial 16S ribosomal RNA
Source: RNAcentral